This is a small nucleolar RNA of Pseudocercospora fijiensis CIRAD86, 109 nucleotides long. NCBI's taxonomy places the organism in Eukaryota, Fungi, Ascomycota, Dothideomycetes, Mycosphaerellales, Mycosphaerellaceae. The record is from Rfam.
CACCGGGUUGAUAACUAGGCAAUGGUCUCAAAAGCUCCACGACCAACGCCCUUUAAGUGCUCGGGAGAUUGAGAUUUAUUGGCAAGGAUCUUACAUGUCCUCGGAAUUU